GACAGAGGGUGCAAACGUUGCUCGGAAUUACUAGGCGUAAAGCGCGUGUAGGUGGCUUCGCGAGUCCGAUGUGAAAGCCCUGGGCUCAACCUGGGAAUUGCAUUGGAUACUGGCAGGCUAGAGUGCGAUAGAGGGUAGUGGAAUUCCCGGUGUAGCAGUGAAAUGCGUAGAGAUCGGGGAGGAACAUCUGUGGCGAAGGCGACUACCUGGACCAGCACUGACACUGAGGCACGGAAAGCGUGGGGAGCAAACAGG
This 255-nucleotide ribosomal RNA is filed under the name uncultured bacterium. RNAcentral describes it as "partial 16S ribosomal RNA". It matches the Rfam family "Bacterial small subunit ribosomal RNA", at positions 524 to 776 of the family's 1533-position model. The record is from RNAcentral.